This 492-nucleotide ribosomal RNA is filed under the name uncultured bacterium. RNAcentral's name for it is "partial 16S ribosomal RNA". It matches the Rfam family "Bacterial small subunit ribosomal RNA", at positions 29 to 507 of the family's 1533-position model. The record is from RNAcentral.
AGUGAACGCUGGCGGUAGGCCUAACACAUGCAAGUCGAACGGCAGCACAGUAAGAGCUUGCUCUUACGGGUGGCGAGUGGCGGACGGGUGAGGAAUACAUCGGAAUCUACUUUUUCGUGGGGGAUAACGUAGGGAAACUUACGCUAAUACCGCAUACGACCUACGGGUGAAAGCAUGGGAUCUUCGGACCUUGCGCGAUUGAAUGAGCCGAUGUCGGAUUAGCUAGUUGGCGGGGUAAAGGCCCACCAAGGCGACGAUCCGUAGCUGGUCUGAGAGGAUGAUCAGCCACACUGGAACUGAGACACGGUCCAGACUCCUACGGGAGGCAGCAGUGGGGAAUAUUGGACAAUGGGCGAAAGCCUGAUCCAGCCAUACCGCGUGGGUGAAGAAGGCCUUCGGGUUGUAAAGCCCUUUUGUUGGGAAAGAAAAGCAGCAGGUUAAUACCCCGCUGUUCUGACGGUACCCACAGAAUAAGCACCGGCUAACUUCGUG